RNAcentral lists this ribosomal RNA (253 nucleotides) under uncultured bacterium. RNAcentral describes it as "partial 16S ribosomal RNA". It matches the Rfam family "Bacterial small subunit ribosomal RNA", at positions 524 to 776 of the family's 1533-position model. The record is from RNAcentral.
UACGAAGGGGGCUAGCGUUGCUCGGAAUCACUGGGCGUAAAGGGUGCGUAGGCGGGUCUUUAAGUCAGGGGUGAAAUCCUGGAGCUCAACUCCAGAACUGCCUUUGAUACUGAGGAUCUUGAGUUCGGGAGAGGUGAGUGGAACCGCGAGUGUAGAGGUGAAAUUCGUAGAUAUUCGCAAGAACACCAGUGGCGAAGGCGGCUCACUGGCCCAUUACUGACGCUGAGGCACGAAAGCGUGGGGAGCAAACAGG